This 76-nucleotide transfer RNA is filed under the name Veillonellaceae bacterium. Its description in RNAcentral is "tRNA-Phe". It matches the Rfam family "tRNA". Rfam says of the family: Transfer RNA (tRNA) molecules are approximately 80 nucleotides in length. Their secondary structure includes four short double-helical elements and three loops (D, anti-codon, and T loops). Further hydrogen bonds mediate the characteristic L-shaped molecular structure. tRNAs have two regions of fundamental functional importance: the anti-codon, which is responsible for specific mRNA codon recognition, and the 3' end, to which the tRNAs corresponding amino acid is attached (by aminoacyl-tRNA synthetases). tRNAs cope with the degeneracy of the genetic code in two manners: having more than one tRNA (with a specific anti-codon) for a particular amino acid; and 'wobble' base-pairing, i.e. permitting non-standard base-pairing at the 3rd anti-codon position. The record is from RNAcentral. Lineage: Bacteria; Bacillati; Bacillota; Negativicutes; Veillonellales; Veillonellaceae.
GGCUCUUUAGCUCAGUUGGUAGAGCAGAGGCCUGAAGAGCAUUGUGUCCCCAGUUCAAGUCUGGGAGGAGCCACCA